RNAcentral lists this ribosomal RNA (282 nucleotides) under uncultured Smithella sp. RNAcentral's name for it is "partial 16S ribosomal RNA". It matches the Rfam family "Bacterial small subunit ribosomal RNA", at positions 1101 to 1382 of the family's 1533-position model. Lineage: Bacteria; Pseudomonadati; Thermodesulfobacteriota; Syntrophia; Syntrophales; Smithellaceae. The record is from RNAcentral.
AACCCUUGCUUUAAUUGCCAGCAUUCAGUUGGGCACUUUAGAGAUACUGCCGGGUUUUUAAGCCGGAGGAAGGUGGGGAUGACGUCAAGUCCUCAUGGCCUUUAUGCCCAGGGCUACACACGUGCUACAAUGGGUGGUACGAAGAGCAGCUAACUCGCGAGAGUAUGCAAAUCUCAAAAAGCCAUCCUCAGUUCGGAUUGGAGUCUGCAACUCGACUCCAUGAAGUUGGAAUCGCUAGUAAUCGCGGAUCAGCAUGCCGCGGUGAAUACGUUCCCGGGCCUU